CCUACGGGAGGCAGCAGUGAGGACUAUUGGUCACUGGACGGAAGUCUGAACCAGCCAUGCCGCGUGCAGGAAGCCGGCUCUAUGAGUUGUAAUCUGCUUUUGUACAAGGGUACACCUGAAUACGUGUAUUCAGCUGAAAGUACUGUACGAAUAAGGCUCGUCUAACUCCGUGCUAGCAACCGCGGUAAUACGGAGGAUCAAAGCGUUAUCCGGAUUUAUUGGGUUUAAAGGGUGCGUAGGCGGAUUGAUAAGUUAGAGGUGAACUUUCCGAGCUUAACUCGGGAACUGCCUCUAAUACUGUUGAUCUAGAGAGUAGAUGCGGUAGGCGGAAUGUAAGGUGUAGCGGUGAAAUGCUUAGAGAUCAUACAGAACACCGAUUGCGAAGGCAGCUUACCAAUCUAUAUCUGACGUUGAGGCACGAAAGCGUGGGGAGCAAACAGGAUUAGAUACCCCUGUAGUC
This 460-nucleotide ribosomal RNA is filed under the name uncultured bacterium. RNAcentral describes it as "partial 16S ribosomal RNA". It matches the Rfam family "Bacterial small subunit ribosomal RNA", at positions 338 to 795 of the family's 1533-position model. The record is from RNAcentral.